UCACCCUACUCUAAUAAGGUUUUGAUAUCUGGAGCUCAUAGGUGGGAGACAGCUAAUACAUACUUACAAGACAUUUAUUGCAUAGUCAAACCGUGGAUCCAGAGAAACAAGUCAAUAAGUCAAAUCAUGAUGUGCAUGUGUGGCGAAUGAAUGGUGUAUGGUGAUGAUGGUGAUAACAAUGGUGAAAGUCUAAUUCUACUUUUGCUCUUUUAAGGGGAUACAUACCUUUCUUGCACUUUGAAGCUUUUUUGGGGAGAAUGAGAUGCUCUAUAUUUUCUUUUUCUUUCCUCUCAGGUGGGUAUCUUGUACCCCUAAUUCUACUGUCGGACACUUGUCCAUUUUUACCUCUCGUCUCACUUUUUCUUUUCUUCGAGGUUCCGGGCACUAGCCCCUUUUUAUUUCCUCGUAUUAUAUAUAUAUAUAUUUAGAGCACUCAUCUCCUGAAAGAAUGUAGCAAGUGGUAGUAACCAAAAUAACUGGAGCAUUUAUUUCACAGGGAAUAAUAGGGAUAGGAAAAUGUUUUUUUGGCUAUUCUCUCUCGGAUUAGGAGUAGAAUAAUUUUGGGUGAAUGUGGAGAUGGAAAUGAGUGGAUGUAUGUGGAUGCGUACUUCCGGAGUAGAAGCAGCAUAUACGAGUGAACAUGCAAGUGAAUCUUGAUUUUAACCACAUGACAAGCUCCUAAGGGUCUACACAGCUUGACCACACUAAAUGCUCAUAAGCAGUAAAAAGUAAAUGUUUGGCUCAAAGUCUAAUAAGCAUGUAUAUAUGGCUGUGGUAGGAUUUUAAACUCUCAUCAUACAGGAACCCAUCAUGUGAUAUUUUAAAGAUUUUGCAAAGAUAAAAUUCUCCAAAAUUCUAGCAUCUCUAGGAACAAAUAAACAGCAGCUCAACCUUCCCAUAUCAUAUCCGUUAACAACUUAGACUUUAGAUCAAGUACUUUUCCCACAAGUUCAAGUUUAGAGCAAGCUUUAAAUUAUAACAGUUAUGCCUAAACUUGAGAGAGAUUUCAAUUUGAAGAACUAGUCAUGGUAGAGCAACUAUUCAUCAUUUCCAUGUGAGAGUUUAUCAUGAGGGUUCAUAGCAAACUUUAUUUAUUUAUUUAUUUAGCAAACUAAGCAAAGAUAUAUAUAUAUAUAAGAGCACAAAAUCUUUAUUUGGAUUUUCAUGAUUAUGCAUCUUUUAUGAUUUGAGUAAAGUAUAAACGCGAGUAGAAACACUUAGCUGGAUAAAUGGGGGUGCUCUCCCCCAAGCUGGAUUUUGACGUAAUUUCUUCUGAUGUAGCUAGCAAGUGAUGGAGGUGUAUUUGAAAGUCGGCAGCACCCUGACAACGAUUAGGAUGUCCUCCGUCUGCUAGUCUUUUUUUUUAUUCCUUGAAUCCUGUGGAACUCAAAUAGACAACAAAGCUUUGUGGAACUGGUUAAGUGUUAGCAUAAAUAUCUGGCCUUUAUCAUGUUGAGCCUCCUCAAUAAAUAUUACUUAUUUAGCAGGAUCAUGCACUUAUUAUUUUUAUAUUUUUAUUGUAAGAUGAAAACUUAUUUAUUUUAUUUUUAUGCCACCACAGUGAAUGUACUUAUGGGUUUUAUGCCAUGAGCAUACUCACAUGGGGCUUACUAUUUUGUUAACAUUUUUAUUUUCUUUUCAAGAUAGCAUUAACCUGAUUAACUAAGCAAACUAUUGAAUGGAAAAGGAUAACUACCAAGUUUACCUCUUGGCAAGGCGUUCGCUAUUUUUAAGUCCUCCGAACGGGACUCUCCGUUUUCUCAUUCGUCCUGGGAUUCACUGGAUGGCGUAGUCGGUGGUUCCGGUGGCACCUCCUCUUCGUGUAUGGUUAUCUUCUCUUUCCACACUUGACUCGGUGCUACGGUCUCCAUAGGAUAGUUCCGUUCAAGCUGUAUAUCUUCAGACCUUACUACUUCUCCUUCGUAGUCUGCCCAUCCGUCCUUGAUGAUUUGCCUCCUCUGGUUGCGGUUGCGUUGUCUUCUUCAGAGGAAAGUGUAUGUGGACUUCUCCGGUUCCAAUAUAAAUGAUGGCUUAGAUAGUGUUGAGGAACGGUCUUCCAAGGAUGGUGGGUGGAUCGUACUCGUCUUCUACCAUGUCAAUGACCUGAAAAUUAUCUCAAGCUGAAUAUAUAUUGGUUGUAGGGGCAUGGUUCCAUGCAGGAGCUGAUAAGUGACUGCGGCCAUUAUGUUGAUGUCAGAUCCGGUGUCGUAGAGUGUCUUCUAAAAAGAGUAUCUGUUGAUAGUGCACUCAAUGCUUGGAACACCAGGGUCGUCCUUCUUGAUCAAGAAAGGUGACUUGAGUCGACGAUCUUGACCUCCUCCGACAAGGAUCCAUAGUUUUAAAUCUUCUGGACAAGACUUCUCACUGUCUUCAUGCUUUAGGUGCAUCAUUUGAUUAGGUGUGGACCUUGACGUCUGCACUUCUUGAUACGGUGUCACCUAUAUUCUUUGAUUGCCCAACAGUUCGAAGUGCGGUGUUGGCAAUAUCCUGCUCAGUGUGUUUGUGCUCAUAGAUCCAGGUCCUUCACUUGGUGGAAUCUGGGAGUUGUAAAACUCCUCCAUGUUUUGCUUGAAGUGUACCUGCUCAUAGAGACAAGGCAGAGAUCAAGUGCAUGGGCCCUCUUGGUGGAAAACAACAACAUAACCAAAAAGUGUAUUUGUUCUUGUCUAACCUUAAGCAUAGUGAGCAAGAAAAAGUUGAUGGAUCAUGAGUGUAGCAUUUGUCAGAUCAGAUGGCUCAACCUAAUGGAAAGAUAAUCUAUCUAUAUUUAUGUUUUGUUUAUAUCUUCCAAAGAUUGAAUGUGCAAUACUUUAGCUUAUAUGAUUAGGAGUGUGGGAUCACGAAGGUAGUCCUAAGAACAAAGAUUAAAGGACUAAACAUGUUGAAUUAAUUGAGUUGGUUAAUUUGGAGUUACAGAUCAUACAUGUUUGUCUCUUUAUUUUGUGUGAAUGCCAGAACCAAGGAGAAGUUUAUAAAAGUGAUAGUCAAGUACCUUAAGGUGUUACCUUACUUGAAGAGUGAUGGUAUAGUAUCACCUUGUGGAAGCUUUUCUUUUCUUAGCGGUUGUGCAUCGUGUUUGUGGCACCCUCCAUGAAUCAUCUCUUAUGAGCUACGUCUUUCUUGUGCAAAUUGUUAAACUUCAUGUGUCACCUUCUUCAUCUCCAUUGUGAGUUUAUCUUAGGACUUCCCAGGUUGAUAUUAAAAGUUUUCCUGCAGGGGUUAGUCCCACAAAAUAUACCAAUAUCUACUCAAGCAGUUUUUAGUUCAGUAACCAAACUAGACUCCAUGUCUAAUCAGAUUAAGGAAGGCUAUUUAACCUAAGCACCAUGAUUAAUUUAAAUGCCAAUGGAAGUAUGUCGAGUACUUCCAAACCAACACUUGCUAGUAAAUAGAUAAAGGUAGCAUGACAGCAUUUAUAGAGAUCUACUCAAGUGGAGAUGAAGUAGUGUGAUUAGUACUUAACAAAUUGAGCAUGUCUCAAAGGUAGGGACAACCAACAUAGCAACAUGGCAAAGGAUGUUUUUAUGUAAAGUACUCCCCCAAGCUUGAAUUUUGCGAAAUUCAAGUUUGGAUGAAUUUAAUUCAAUGUUGUAUGAUGGUUGGUUGGACAUACCUUGUGCUUGUCAUUCAUCUGAUCUUCUUACUCCAAUCCUAGAAAGGUUAGUGGCAAGAAUACCCGAAGGAAUAUUUCUACAAUUAUCUCAAUAUGCUCAAUACACGAGGCAAUGUUGCAAAUUCAUGUUACGAUCUGAUAAGUGCUUGUUUAAGGACGCUAAGCUUAUCCUUGGGAAACCAUCAAACUAUGUCGGCGAAGUGGUUUCCCCUCCAACGCUGACCUAUAUCAAGAUCAACUCAACGAGAUCUGCAAUAUUUAUUAUAGACAUAUGCAUCGACAACCGCCCUUUUAAAGUUUUUAUUAAUAGAAAAGAAGAGGGGGUCGGAGAUCUCAAAUGUGGUGAUGUUGGAGAGACCAAUUGAUUGGGAGAUGUUUUAUAUGAGCAAGGACUUGGUGAGGUAUUUAUGAAAUAACUUCCAUGCUCAAUAUUGUUUCUCUCAUUCUCAAGCUCCAAGGAUGAUUCUUCACGAAUGCUUAAAAUUCCUCUAGGACUGUCUCUCAAGUUUGUUUUAUCUAUCCAUUCAAUGGUGAUAGCACAUGGAUUUUUAAUGCCCUCUAGCCAUUGAUGUUGCUCUUCUCGAUCCUCCUUAUGCAUGGGAUGUCUAGUGAGAUUCAUAGGAUUAUCGGGAGGUUCAAGAGAAAGAGCAUAGUAGAAACUAUUAAGCUCAAGGAUGGGAUGGAUAGCCGAAUCAUGGGAUUGAAAUGUUUGGAAAUUGGCUAUUGAAACUUCCUUUCCUCGUCUGGGAGAUGAUUCCUUCUCUAUCUCUAAGAUUUUUCUAUGAAGACUAGUAUAAGAAGGAUGUCCACGAAUGAAGACAUACCUUCCUUUACUAAUAGAUAAAGAAAGAAAGACUCUACCAAAGGUUAUAUGAUUCAGACCAAUGUGAGUGAUGUAUAGAGAAGACUACAACCAAGAAAGAAAAACAUGGUCUUGUAGGGCUAGGUUUAAACCAUAAUUUAUAGAUAGAUUAACAAAUUCCCUAGGUGUAGCUAAAAGUGCAUUAUCUUCUUGAUUAAAAGAUAGGACCUUGGCUAUAGAAAAGGGUUGGUUUUGACCUAUUGCAAUCAACUCCGGACACAGAUCAUAAUUAGGGGCAGGACUUGUUGACUCCCAUGGUCUAUGGCUGGUCUCCGAAGGUGCAAAGAAUUCAAUAAUAGGUAUGGAAUUUGAGUUACCCAUAAAGAUGAAAAUAAAAAGAUAAAAGAAUAAAAGUAUAAAAGUAUAAUACAAGAUAAUAGCAAGACUUAAAGUUAUCUCAGCAAACCGUCUUUCUCCCCGGCAGCGGCGCCAGAAAUGCUUGUUGAUAUAUGGUAACGCAAUAAGGAAUUGAUCCGCAAGCGCACGGAUAUCGGUGAGCAUUUCACCUAGGAGAUUAUCCAGAGUUAUCAUAUUUAUAUUUUUACCACUGGGAGAAAGGGUGCAUCUGACUAACCAAAUCUAUUGCUACUAUCCCUUUAGGCUACAAAGAAUGUUUCUCAAUGUGAGUGAUAUAUAGAGAAGACUGCAACCGUAGUCUCGUUCUAACCUUGGUAAGGAUGAUCUACUAUUCUAUUGGGGAGGCUCACGGAAUCUAGACAACACAAAGGAUGUUCGACCCGCACCUAUAAACCUACCCGUCCUGCUAACAAGAUAUGGGAUACAAAAGUAACUCGGAAAUGUCACGUUCCUCGCUACUACCACGGUCCAGCUAGUCAGGGGAUAUCUAUGAGUACCCUAGCCUAAACACCACGUUUACGCUAGCAAUGAUUACUCUAAUACUCAACUGGAAGAGGAUUAAAGUAAACUCAUAUACCAAAGAACAAUAAAACAAGAACUUACUAGAAUUAGAAGUCGAAUUACUGAAGAAUCUUAGAAGCAAGCCUCGGGUUAGAAGACUUGAUCCCACAGGUACAACUCGGAGUAGACACCGACAGGCCAGCCUUCCUCCGAUCUACACCUCGACUCUAUCUCUCUCAAUCUAGUAGAAACUACAAGAUCUAUUUCUACUUACAUUGGUUGCUAAGCCUAAAAAGAAAUUUUAUUUAGAGAAGAGGUUUUCCUUCGAGGGCACCCCUCAACUCUAUGAUAACUUCUUGUCUCCUCCAGGGGCCAGGGGGGUCUCCUUAUAUAGUCCUCCUCCUGUAUGCGUUUUUGGGUCAGUAGGCGAUGUGGUACUACGUUAUCCUUGAUCCUUUAGGUCGGUGGAACAUCGUGUGCGAAGAGAGUCUUCCUUAUUUCCUGAUAAUCCCCUGCAGAAAUAGACAAACACCAAAACUCGUGGAAUUCUGUCAGAUAAAACCUUAAGUCUGGGUGUUGGUUGCAUUUGGAUCCUUUUCUUUAUUUAUUUGAUGAUUAUAUUUGGUACUUAAGGACCAUCAACACUCUGGUAAUCUACUUCUAUUCCAUUAUGCAAUUACUAUUCAUGUAUGUUCUGAUUCACAACUCUUUUGAGUAGUUUUAAUCUAUAGGACCCUAUACGUUAGAGUUGUAGUAUAGGUGUAAGCGUGGUGCUUAGACCUAGAUUACUUGUGGAUAUCCCCUGUCUAGCCGGAUCGUGUGGUAGGCCGCGUAGGUGACAGUUACGUUGGUCCUCUGUAGUCCACCUCCAGUUAGCAGGACUGGUAGGGUUUAUCGGCCUAUGGAUAAGCAUCCUUUGUGGUGUAAUCUUAUCACGUGGUUCGUCCUAGACAUAGACAUACCCCUUUGAAGUAGAGAAACCAUAGUUAUCCUCUCUAUUCUCCUACCAUCGCCCAUAUACUAGAUUGCUCUACUCUCUAUUCCCAUAUUAUCACCCAUUGUUAUCUUACCUUUAAUAUUGUUCUUAUUCAAUUCUACCAUCUUUCCUAUUUACACCUACCUAUCUAUCUAGGUUAAGUUAGAGCGUAGAUCAGUUCUCCCGUUUCCCUAUGGAUAUGAUAAAACCUUUGACCGGGUAAAAGCUACAACGGUAUCCGUGCGCUUGCGGAUUUAUCUGUGUGCGUAUAAAUACCAUAGUACACUCUUGUGCCAUGCUAGGGAUGACAACCUAGUAUUCAAGUGGUGUUAGCAAGUGUCAACACUUGCGAUUUCGCCAAGUUUUCUCUCUUGUGAAUUCAUUGUUUUUAUGCUAAGUUUGACCUCGCCGAACCUUGCAGAGCACCGUCGUCCGCCUUCCUCCAUCGCGAGCGCACCCCAGCCUCUCCCCGACAUCGGUUUUGCCCUAUGUAAGUCCGCAUCAAGCUCCUCUAUGCUCUGGUGCUAUCGGUUUGCUCCCUAGUGCCUUGAAUCACCGUUUUGGCGAACACCGGCCAACUCCGGCCAUGGCGCCGCCGUGACACCCCAACUCUGGCCGGCCAUCUUCCUUCCCCAACUCCGAUCUAAUCGCAACCGUCCACAUGAGAUCCAGCGGCUCCAGAUGAAGGAUACCCCUUCAGCCGCAGUUUUGCUAAAGAGACCCUGCACUUUUUAAGUAUAGAACCCACGGUCCCUGGCGCCUUUAGGCAAAUACGCAUUGUCCUUUUGAAAACAUAAAAGCUCCCGGGUUAAAUCAAAAUACGUUUUCAGUAUUUACUAAUUUGCCACUGAGUUUUUUUAGGCCAUAAAAUAUUCGUUUUAACUCCAAUUUGACCCAUUCAAAAUGCGUUAGGUUCGUCUUUAAAAGAUCUACAUGUUAGUAAUAUUGUUUACUCAGUUUGAAACCUUUAAUUUUCGUGACCUUAUUUAAUUAAUUAUUUUUCUAUAGGAAAUCAUAGAAAAUUCAUAACUUCUAUGUUUCAAUUCUGUUUUUCGUGAUCGUUACGUCUGUGAGAUCGUAGCGAUGCGUAGAAUCAUUUUAUAAUCUUUUUAUACUGUUUUUAUAUGAUUAGUGUACUGUUCUAAUUGUAGCCUUGUUUGCUUUGUGUAUGUUGUCUCCGAUUGUUUGUGUGUUGAUGAUCGAUGAUCGAGUUUAGACGGUGAACAAUACGUUGGUGAUCAAGGCCAAUCUUUUGACCAGCAGCAGGAGUUUCAGGAAAGCUUUGAUCAAGGCAAGUAUAACUUGGGACUAUCCUUGUUACCUAUAUACAAUUAAUACAAUAUAUCAUAUGCAUGUGUCCACCUUGAUGACCUUAGUAAAAUCAUAGAUGAUUGUUGUCCUGAAUUCCUUGAUACCUAUUGGGAUAUGCAUUUGGGUAGUUCUUGCUAGAGCUUGAUUAUAAUCCAUGAUCUUGUAACAUGAAUAUUUUGAUAUACAAUAAACAAUAAAAUAAGCUUUCUAGCAACUUGAACAUAAAGGGUGGAAAGAACUCUGGCUUUUGCUAGAUUGAUCUUGACCCCCCAUAAGGACUUAUCCCUUAGCAAAAGCUGGGACAAUUCGUACUACCAUGAGGGCUAUAUGGCUCUGGCUUUAGUCAAGUAUGAGUAAUUUUUCUAGCUCGUUAGCGGUUACCCAUGUGGCGCAAUUGGGGAAUAGCAGACCGUGGAUUCCUGCGGGUGGAUCACAUGGACUGACUAAUGAAACCAAACGGCCCUAACUUGUUAGACGAACCUUUGAAUGACUUGAUAGUGAUCCCUGCCGAGCUCCCUAGGAAGGGGGUUAAGAGACUUCCAAGCUCGGGCGAAAGGGUAAAUCACAACUCAUGGGUAAAGAUGUACAACCUCUGCAGAGUGUUAAAUCUGGUAUACUAGCCGUGCCCACGGAUACGGGCAGCCUAGAAAACUGACGGAAUAGAUGGACACUGAUGAACAUGAUUAAUGAUGAUAAAUGAGGGUUUAUUAUGUUGUCUAUAUGUGUUAUUCUUAAUUUUUGUAUACAUUGAUCAUGUGGUUAUGGGAUUAAUUAUGCUACCUUGAUAUUUGCUAUCCAAUGAUUAAAUAUGCUAUCUACAUAUAAAAGCUAAACGCAGUCAAAUCAGUGUCAGCUAAUUGAGCCUCAUGAACCCCUGGUUAUACUUGUUGAGUACGAUAUAUGCUCACUCUUGCUAUUUCCCCCAUUCUUCAGGAGGAAUGUUAGGCUUGUGAUCAACCAGUUAGUUGGAUCCUGUAGAGUGGAGUUAAUAACCGAAGUUUGGAGUUAUCUUCCAUUGUUUGCUAUCUAAGGUUACCUCUUAUUUACUAUGUACGUUAUAUAAUUUAUGCAUUGUUUUUUGAUAUUACCCCUUAUUUGUUGCUAUAUGUGAUAUUUGACUUCUAAGACUCAUAUAUGGUGUAUAUCUGGUUUUGUCCUUAAAAUCGGGUAUUACAUUAAUGGAUAAAUGGAUAAUGUACGUAAGUUAUUUCUUAUUCACACAUAAGCGUAUCGGAUAAAUAGCUGAUCCAAUUAUCUUUAUUCAUCAGAUGCAAGUGUUUGAUAAGAAUUUAAAUGUUUUAUAUUAUUUAUCUUUCUGCAUCAUCAUUAGGAGUUGACUUUCUAGUUAAUUUUUUCGUUCAACGGCUUCUCAAGGCCAUAUAUUUUGGAACUGUCUGGCAAUAACGGGCACGUUCCAUAACUUGACUUUUUGUACCUAUACCUUGUCAAUUUUAGGUCAAAUUGACUGGCACGCCUUGGAAUCAAUUCACCAAGCUCGAGUGUUUGUGGCUCAAGAGGUCUAGGACUUCAGCUCCUGCACUCCCUUUGAGAGCCCGUGAAUUUUUGGUGUGAGAAACCAAUUGUUGCACCAACACAUCUUUUGGGAUGCUCGGUGGGACAUCAAUCAACAACAUGGAGAAUGAAAACGUGCUCAAUGUUACUCUAGAUGAACUCCCGGAUCCGUUGAAGGAAAUGGUCGUAACUGCUGUGAGCCAAUAUCAAGAGAAAUGCUUGCUUUCUUUCUUUCAGCAGGACUAGAGAUAAGAAGGUAUAUCAGAAGAAUCUUUUCCCAAGAGUAAUUCUGGAAGGAGAACGUGAUCCUACUGUUCAAUCCAACAUCAAGCUAUGAGUGAAACUAUUAGCAAAGCUAUGGCAGCAACCUUGGCUAAUCAUAAUGAAAUAUUAUUGAAUGGUAUUACUAAUGCCAUUAAGGAAGCUUUUAAUCUAGAUAUAUAGAAUAGGGGUCCGACAUAUUCUGCUCCUAUUGGAAACAGGCAAACAUUUGUUGGGCAGACAUCGGGAGAUCAUAUAUCUGGAGAACCUACAAAUAUAAAUCAAUGCUGCGACACUGUUCAGCAAUCAGUGCAACAGUCGAUACUGGAUUAUGGUCAAUCGGUUGCAAAAGUUGCUCCUCAUAGCAGGAGAUUGGCCAGGAAUUUCAAUGCUCCACCAUAUCAAGGAUGGUUAGCACCUGGAGAUGUACUCACUAGUUAUCACAAUGUUUCAAAGCAUUACACUUUGAAUGGUUGCAAAAACCCUGGAUAUCAACCAAAUAAUCAAAGGAUUCAAAAUUAUGGGUAUCCAGAGCCAAAUAAUCAGCAAGGACCUCAGUUUUAGAUAGAUCAGCUAAUGGGCCAGGUGACUGAUGUGGUUCAGAGGCAGUUUGGCUUGAAGCCCAAGAACAUAACAGUUUCAUAUAAGAAACCAUACCUAGAGUGGUUUGAUCAAGUUUUAUUGCCACCAAGAUAUAGACAUCCACAUUUUGUUAAAUUUACUGGAAUGGGUUCGGUAUCGACAAUGGAGCAUGUUAAUCAAUAUUUGGCUCAACUUGGUAAAAUUGCUGAUGAACCAACAUUCAAAGUGAGGUUCUUUCCUCUUUCUCUAUCUGGACCAGUAUUCUCAUGGUUUGCAUCUCUGCCACAUUAUUCUAUCGAAGGAUGGGAAGAUCUAGAGACCAAGUUCCAUCAUUACUUUGAUUCAAGAAUCAUGGAAAAAGGUAUUAUAGAUUUAGUCGAUGUGAGACAAAGGAACAAUGAGUCUCCACUUCAUUAUUUAUAGAGGUUUAAAGAAGUUAGGAAUCAAUGCUAUACUUAGACACUUUCAGAAGCUGAGUUGGUUAGCAUUGCAAUUUGAGGGCUAAUACCAGCUAUCAGAGAGAAGAUUGGAUUUGAUUCUCCCAAUUUAGCUGCUUUGGCCAGGAAAUUAUCUAGUAUGGAAAAUCAGUUCAAGUAUGCACGCUUUGACAGACCUCAGAAGGUAGGCAAUGUCGGUUAUGAGUCUGACCCAGAGUUAGUCGAUAGCAGUGAUGAAGAAGUUGAAAAUGAUGAGGUAGCCGCUAUGGAUUGGCUGUGGAAAUAUUCUGAAUAUAUUCCAUGGGCCAAGAAUAAAUCGACAUACGAAGAGAAGAAGAAAUUCAACUUUGACAUCACCAAGGCCGACAAAAUAUUUGAUUUUUUUUGGAGAAAGGGUAAAUUAAGUUGAUAGGAAAUCAUAGGAUCCCUUCGGCUGAAGAACUUAAGAAGAAAAGGUAUUGUAAGUAUCAUAAUUCUAAUACUCAUAAUACUAAUGAUUGCAAAGUUUUCAGAGAUAUAAUCCAGCAAGCUAUCAACAAAGGGAAGAUUGGGCAGGAGAAGGGUAAAGGUGGUAUGGGUAUAGAAGGACAUCCCUUUCUAGCAAAUAUGGUUGCUUCCUCUUUUCCAAGGGGGAAGUUCAAGGUGCUUACCUCUGAAAGUGCCAAGGAAGCAAAGGCAGUAGAUUCCACAAGACAAAUAUCAGCUACCGAAUAUCAAGAAAUGAAGAAGAAACAAGAUCAGCAAAUUAGUCAAAGUGGUGAAAUGCGCAAACAUCCUAUUGUCAGGAUUUUAUUGAAUAAAUGGCAAAGACAGAAAGAGAGGGACCAAAUGUGUCAAGAAAGAGAAUAUUGGAUGUAUCAAGAGGAAUACAAAAGAAGGAGAAUUCAAGAAGAAGAUGAAUAUCAUUGGAAUUGUCCUUUCUUUCAACAUUGCUAGAAUGAAGGCUUGAAGUUGCCGACUCUCAAUAACUAUCCUGAGUGCAGUGAUCAGUAUUGGGAAUAUUGUCAAGCUGUACAUGAACGACUGAAUUUUGGGGAAACAAGUCGGCGCAUAAAAAUGGAAAAUAUUCAUGAUCAGUUCAAAACAGAAAUAGUCGAUCAAGAAAUAAUUGAUAGAGAGUAUGUCUGGUAGGAGAAUCAAUGGUGUCCAAGUGGACUUACCAGAAGUCAGAAGAGAAGGGUUCAACGUCUGAUAAAUGAUGAACUGCAUCAAAAAUGACAUAAAGUAUGGCAAGUUAAACAGAUAGUUGAUAAAAGCAAAUGUAAGGCACCAGUUGAAGUUUCUGCUAUUUUUAUGUUGCCUGCUGAAUUUAGAGCCAAUAGUGAUGAGAUAGAAUCAGAUGAAGAAAUAGUUGUGGCUCAAUGUGUUUGUCAAGCAGAAAGUGCAACCUUUGAGAAACCUAAGAAACACCUGCAUUUAAAGGGAUUAUAUCUCAAAGGGUUUAUUGAUGGGAAGCCAUUGACCAAGAUGUUAGUUGAUGGAGGUGUAGCUGUGAAUUUGAUGCCAUAUUCUACAUUCAGAAAGCUUGGUAAGAAGAGAGAAGAUCUAUGUCCAACUGAUAUGAGAUUGACAGAUUUUAGUGGUAGCAUUUCAGUAACCAAAGGUGCUAUAUGUGUUGAAUUGAUAGUUGGUAGUAAGGGCUUGCCUACUACUUUCUUUGUGGUUGAUGCUAAAGGCAUGUAUAGUUUGCUCUUAGGAAGAGAUUGGAUCCAUAUUAAUUGCUGUAUGUCAUCCACCAUGCAUCAGAGUUUAAUUCAGUGGAUUGGAGACAAUGUAGAAGUUGUUCGAGCCGAUUCUUCUAUUAGUAUUUCUUAUACUAGAAUAGAUGAGUGGAAUUUUGAAGGCAUGGAAUGUUUCUAUGGGAAAAUCUAUGAAGGAGAUGUCAUCAAAGUGUUUGAUGAUAAUCAACAGCCGAUACAAGUAGUCGUCUCUCAAAUUUUUAAUUGAUGGAUUCUUUAGUCGAUGAAGAUGAAGGCAAGAUGGGCAAAGGAUUUAUGUCGGCCGAUGAGCUAGAGGAAAUAGAUAUAGGAGAUGGUGAUAAGCCUAGGCCAACAUAUGUAAGUGUUAAAUUAGAUCCUGAGUAUAAACAAGAAUUAAUAGAUUUAUUGAGAGUAUAUAAAGAUACUUAGGAGUAUUAUGAAAUGCCUGGCCUUGAUAAAAAAUUAGUUGAGCAUCGGCUACCGAUUAAACCUAGGUAUCGACCCUUUAAGCAAGCUCCAAGAAGGAUUAAACCAGAGGUAACGGCCAAUGUCAAAGUAGAAAUCACUCGAUUAUAUGAAGCAAAAUUCAUUCGGCAAUGUCGAUAUGCUGAAUGUAUUUCCAUUGUGGUUCCUGUGUAUAAGAAGGAAGGUAAAGUAAGUGUUUGCAAUGAUUUUAGAGAUUUGAAUAAAGCUACCCCUCUAGAUAGUUAUCCUAUGCCUGUUGCCAAUAUGUUAGUCGAUGCAGCGGUAGGACAUAAAAUAAUUAGUUUUAUGGAUGAUAAUGCUGGAUAUAAUCAAAUAUUCAUGGCGGAAGAAGAUAUUCAUAAGACUGCUUUUAGAUGUCCUAGUGCAUUGGGUGUAUAUGAGUGGGUAGUUAUGACUUUUGGACUAAAAAAUGACGUUGUAACUUAUCAGAGGGCAAUGAAUUGUAUAUUUCAUGAGUUGAUCGGUAAGAUUGUUGAAAUUUAUAUAGAUGAUGUAGUUGUGAAAUCCAAGGGUUAUCAAGAACAUUUGGAGGAUCUCAAGAAAACUCUUAUGUGCGCCAGAAAGCAUGGAUUGAGGAUGAAUCCACAUAAGUGUGCCUUUGGAGUAUCAGCUGGACAAUUCUUGGGUUUCAUGGUGCAUGAAAAAGAGGUUGAAGUUGGGCAAAAGAGUUUUAAGCAAUUAGUAAGACAGUGCCUCCAACUUCAAAAACUGAGUUGCAAUCUUUGAUCGGCAAAUUUAAUUUUGUUAGAAGAUUUAUUUCAAACUUAUCAGCUAAGAUUUUGCCGUUCUCUACAUUGUUGAAAUUGAAGAGUGGUCAAGAAUUUAGGUCCGGAAACAAAAAAACAAAAGGCAUUUGAAGAAAUUAAGGAGUAUAUGAAGUCUCCACCAGUUUUAGUCCCCCCUUAGAAUUGAAAGCCUUUUAAGUUGUACGUAGCAGCCAGUGAUCAUAAUAUUGGAUCGGCUUUAAUGCAAGAAUUUGAAGGAAAAGAAAGGGUUAUCUUUUAUUUGAGUAGAAGAUUGUUAGAUCUAGAAACUAGAUAUUCUCCCAUUGAAAAGAUAUGUUUACAUUUGUACUUUUCAUGUAGGCAUUAUUUGUUAUCUUUAGAGUGCACGGUGGUGUCCAAGUUUGAUGUGAUCAAACAUAUGCUAUCUAUGCCUAUUUUAAAUGGGAGAAUUGGUAAGUGGAUUCUUGCAUUAUCAGAAUUUGAUUUGAGAUAUGAAUCGGCUAAAGCAGUUGAAGGUCAAGCCAUAGCUGAUUUCAUUACUCAUCAUCGAGAAAAGGAAGUAACAUUAUUGGAAUUAACCUCUUGAGAUCUAUUCUUUGAUGGAUCUACUUGCAAGCAAGGAGGGGGUGUCGGUAUUGUGUUGAUUUCUCCAUAAGAGAUGAGUUUUGAAUAUGCUAUUUGAUGAGGACAUCAGCACCAUCUAUACAUCCACACCUACAUCACACCAUCGCCAACACCACUUGGCCCUCUUACUCGUACCCAUGCCCGUCAACUGAACCAUCAAGUAAGUUUAUUCUUAAACUCUUGUCCAUCAUAUUUAGACAAUGGAGACACGUGCACGCUUGUUUUGCUUAGGAAUGAUGGAGAGGACCAGAAGCAUAGGGGAUUGGCGUAGGCUGGAUUUGGACAGCAAGACAGCACCAACUUACAACAACUGCCAUGACUUCAUACAGAGUCCAUUUUAAGCAUGCAAGCACUUGAUGGAAAACUCGUCAAGUAUAUUUUUAGAUGGAUCUCAAUUCAAGUUCACAGCAGCUAUGAGGCGGCCGCAAUUGUCUAAUAACUCCACGGACCUUUUCUUCGGAUACCUACUUUUAGAGCAUGCUUCGGUCAAUAAGGAUCUCAUGUUUCGGUCAAUAAGGAUCUCAUGCAACUAAGCAAUGUUGCCUUUAUUUCUCUGUUAUUUUUAGAGUGUUGAUAUUUUUAGAGUGUUGAGAGUGCCACCUAGCUUUGCUCUCUCUUGUAUUUAUGGCUCCUACAUGCCACCACAACAAUCUGGGUUUUGUUUAAUCGAAUUAGCCAUUUGCUACCGCCUUUCAACGCGCGUGUUGGAUAAACCGCCCGUCUGAUUGUAAAAGGAACCCCACCAUCUUGUGAUUUCAGAUUGAAAGCUCAAUAUAUAUAUUUUUCAAUUGUGAUUGUUCAUUGUGUUCUUGCUUGUUCUUUGAUUGCUUGCAGGACGAGUGCCCUCGUGGCCGGGUCGCGCACCACAAGAACGCAGCGAUCCUUGGAGUCAGUGUAUCGGUUGCUAAGGCGCAUCAUCCUUGGAUGGUUGUAGUCGGAUCAUGAACGUCGUCUCCUUCCACUAAAUCGAAGUUAUCCAUCUCCACCAAAAAGAUUGGGACACCCUCGUUCUUAUUAUGUGGUAAUCAGAGCAAGGUUUGAUUGGUGAGAGAUUUUAUUUUGCAAUUUUUUUUCCUAUAGUCCAGAAAAGCCAAAAAAAAAUUUAGUUUCAUUCCCAACAUCCUAUAGACCCAUUGAGCCUUUUACUAGUACUACUUAGUUCACGCAAGUUGUGUUUGAUUUACAUCGGUCGAGUCGAAUUGCUGGUCUUGGGUUUAGACUUUUAGAGUUUCGAGUUCUUGUCACGUUUUAGUCACUGCCCAUCGUAUAAUCUCUGCUGCAAUCACUAUUAUCAUAUACAUUUGGACUGUCUGAACUAUCAUCACCACCCUACUUGUGCACCAUGUAAACUCCAUCCACCAGUUUCUCUUUUCACUUGUACGCACCCCUAUAUUUUUAGGCGCAUGCACCCUUUCACUUCAACCCAUGAGCAUGAUAUGAUUAACCGCCACCUCCUGCAUGCUCCUUUCUUCCAUCCAUACAUCCUAUUAUUAGCGCUAGCGCACAUUCUAUUUUCAGCAUCCUAUUACAACCACCAGAUUUGUUCCACAUUUGCGCAUCUAAUUUUAGAACAUUCCAUUGUUCCAUCCACUUCUAGCAGCGCGCAUCCUUUUGCCUGUCCUCCACUCUUCUUUCACAUUCUAUUUUUAGCAUCUCCAUUGCAAUCAGUACUACUGCAGCACCAUAUCACCAUCACAAUUUGCUAGUUGUAUUUUUGUCACACUAAAGGCAUUGUGCGUAUUCUGAAAUCUAAUCCAUCAAGAUUCAGAUUUGUUUUAGUUGAGCAAAGUAAAAGAAAAAAAAACAGAAAGAAAUAAAAAAAACAAUCAAAAAAAGAGGAAAAAAACGAAAGAAAAAAAAACGAAAGAAAAGAAAGGAAGAGGAAAAGAAGGGGAGUUAUCUAGGAAAAGAAGGGGAGUUAUCUCUUGUUGUCCUUAUUAUUGUUCGUGCUGUAACGUGACUUUGUGUCUAGGCUCGCGUCUCUAGCACGGUCUAGCCUAGGACUAGCAUAGCACCACCGUUGAAUGAUUUCUCAACCUGCUUUUGUAACUAAUGUGGUGUUAGUAUUUCCUUGCUACUUUCAGCCUUCCUAUAGCUCCACAAAUUCGACUAUAGCUUGACAGGGAUUGAUGUUGCGGCACCGAUACACUUGCUUCUUAGGUUGAGUUGCUGAAUUGUUGGCUGCCGUCCCCCUCCUGUUGAGUUUGGUAAGAACAGGUGAGAACAUGCAUGGACAAGUGUAGAGAGUGAGAGGAUUAUAAUAACCACAUCCUAGUAGCAUUAGGGCAGUUUUUCUUUCACUUUUUUUUGUCUCCUCUCUUGUGAUCAUGCCAGGAGAAUCAGAUCCAACCCCAGAUCCAACCCCACCACAAUCACCACGGACAAAGACCUUUAUGCAACACUUUGAACGCAAAGUAAGGGAGCACACUAAUGGCCUCAAUGAGGAUGUAUAGGUGACCAAUGAAAAGGUUGGGCAAUUGGAGACAGCCCAAAUAGCCACCACCAGCAAGAUUACAAGGUUGGAGGCAUCUAUUGUUCGUAUGGACAAAAGCCUUGCUGCCCUUCUGAACCGUUUUGAUGACUUCCACAUGAAACACAAAGAGAAGCAUAAUGAAGAUGAAGAGUGAGUCAAAGAUAAUUAUGAUGAUGAUUAUACUGCUGAUACUGAACAUGAUGAUCGUGACACUCGUGAUCGGCAUCGCCUACGCCAUAAUCGAAGUGGUAUGGGCGGUCACCGUCGACAUGAGGUACCCAACAAUACAGAUUCUUUUAGCAAGAUUAAAUUUAAAAUACCUCCUUUUGAUGGUAAGUAUGACCCUGAUGCAUAUAUUUCUUGGGAAAUUGCUAUUGAACAAAAGUUUGCAUGUCAUGAGUUUCCUGAGAAUACACGUGUUAGGGCUGCUACUAGCGAGUUUAGUGACUUUGCUACUGUUUGGUGGAAUGAACAUGUCAAGAAAAAUCCUAAUAACAUACCACAAACUUGGAAUGCUUUAAAACGAAUCAUGAGGGCUAGAUUUGUCCCUUCUUACUAUGCACGAGAUUUGUUACAUAAAUUACAACAACUGAGACAGGGAGCUAAAACUGUAGAAGAAUAUUAUCAAGAAUUGCAAAUGGGUAUGUUGCGUUGUAAUAUAGAAGAGGACGAGGAACCUGCUAUGGCUAGGUUUUUGGGUGGACUAAACCGUGAAAUUCAGGACAUACUUGAAUAUAAAGAUUACAAUAACAUAACCCGUUUGUUUCAUCUUGCGUGUAAAGCUGAAAGGGAAGUUCAGGGACGAUAUGCUAGUACCAAGAAUAGUAUUUCUGCAGGGAAGACUAAUUCAUGGCAGCCCCGCACGACUACUACUCCACCUACACGUGCUCCUAUGCCUUCACAAAGCAACAUGUCUCGUGCUAAUCUAGCAAACUCAGUGGCAAAGACGAUUCAAAAUCCUACUGCAAGUGCUUCACCCAUGGCGUCUACAGGUAGAACAAGAGACAUUCAGUGUCUCCGAUGCAAGGGAUAUGGACAUGUGAUGCGUGAAUGUCCCAGCAAGCGUGUUUUGAUCGUCAAAGAUGAUGGUGAGUGCUCAUCUGCUAGUGAUUUUGAUGAAGAUACACUUGCAUUGCUUGCAGCUGACCAUGCAGGUAGUGAACAACAUUUCGAAGAACAUAUUAAUGCUACUGAAGUAGACCGCUAUGAGAGCCUUAUUGUGCAGCGUGUGCUUAGUGCACAAAUGGAGAAGGCAGAGCAAAAUCAGUGACAUACAUUGUUUCAAGCAAAGUGUGUCAUCAAAGAGCGUUCAUGUCGCAUGAUCAUUGAUGGAGGUAGCUGCAACAACUUGGCCAGCAGCGACAUGGUGGACAAGCUUGCGCUUACCACUAACCCACACCCACAUCCAUAUUAUAUUCAAUGGCUGAACAAUAGUGGCAAGGCAAAGGUAACUAGACUUGUGCGAAUCAAUUUUUCUAUUGGGUCGUAUAAAGAUGUUGUUGAAUGUGAUGUUGUGCCUAUGCAAGCUUGCAAUAUUCUGCUAGGUAGACCUUGGCAAUUUGAUAGAGAUUCUAUGCAUCAUGGAAGAGCAAAUCAAUAUUCUUUUCUAUAUCAUGAUAGAAAAAUUGUUUUACACCCUAUGUCUCCUGAGGCGAUUAUGCAAAAUGAUGUGGCUCAGGCUACAAAAGCAAAAAGAGAGAGGAAUACUAAACCUGUCAUAGAUAGGAAAGAUGGGAUCAAAUUGAAAGGGAAUUGUUUGCUUGCUACUAAGUCUGAUAUUAAUGAGUUGAAUGCAUCCACUUCUACUAUUUAUGCUUUAGUAUGCAAAGAUGCAUUAAUUUCCCUUCACGAUAUGCUGCAUUCUUUGCCUCCGGAGGUUGCUGACAUUUUGCAGGAGUAUUCUAAUGUGUUUCCAACUGAAAUGCCACCGGGGCUACCACCACUUCGAGGGAUUGAGCACCAGAUUGACUUGAUUCCCGGUGCUUCAUUGCCCAACCGUGCACCAUACAGGACCAAUCCAGAAGAAACAAAAGAGAUUCAGCGGCAAGUGCAAGAACUACUCGACAAAGGUUAUGUGCGUGAGUCUCUUAUUCCUUGUGCUGUUUCUGUUAUUUUAGUGCCUAAAAAAGAUGGAUCAUGGCGUAUGUGUGUGGAUUGUCGAGCUAUCAAUAAUAUUACUAUUAGAUAUCGCCAUCCUAUUCCACGCUUAGAUGACAUGCUUGAUGAACUAAGUGGUGCUGUUGUAUUUUCCAAAGUUGACUUGCGUAGUGAUUACCACCAGAUUCGUAUGAAAUUAGGAGAUGAAUGGAAAACCGCUUUCAAAACUAAAUUCGGUUUGUAUGAGUGGUUAGUCAUGCCUUUUGGUUUAACUAAUGCACCGAGUACCUUCAUGAGACUAAUGAACGAGGUUUUGCGUGCCUUCAUUGGAAGAUUUGUUGUUGUUUAUUUUGAUGAUAUAUUAAUUUACAGCAAAUCUAUGGAUCAACAUCUUGAUCAUUUACGUGCUGUUUUUCAAGCUCUACGAGAUGCACGCUUAUUUGGUAAUAUUGAGAAGUGCAUGUUUUGCACAGAUCGAGUUUCUUUUCUUGGCUAUGUUGUUACUCCACAGGGAAUUGAGGUUGACAAAUCUAAGGUGGAAGCAAUACAAGGGUGGCCAAUACCAAAGAGCGUCACCCAGCUAUGGAGUUUUCUAGGACUUGCUGGGUUCUAUCGUCGCUUUGUGCAGGAUUUCAGCACCAUUGCUGCACCAUUGAAUGAGCUUACAAAGAAGGGAGUGCACUUUUCUUGGAGCACAGCACAAGAGAAUGCUUUCAACAUGUUGAAAGAUAAGUUGACACAUGCACCUCUUCUCCAACUUCCUGAUUUUAACAAAACUUUUGAACUUGAAUGUGAUGCUAGUGGAAUUGGUUUGGGUGGUAUUUUGUUACAAGAAGGAAAACCCAUUGCAUAUUUUAGUGAGAAACUAAGUGGGCCUAUUCUAAAUUAUUCUACUUAUGAUAAAGAAUUGUAUGCUCUUGUGCGAACAUUAGAAACAUGGCAACAUUAUUUGUGGCCCAAAGAAUUUGUCAUACAUUCUGAUCAUGAAUCGUUAAAGCAUAUUCGUAGCCAAGGAAAACUGAACCGUAGACAAGCUAAGUGGGUUGAAUUCAUUGAAUCUUUUCCGUAUGUCAUCAAACACAAGAAAGGGAAAGAGAAUAUCAUUGCUGAUGCUUUAUCUAGGAGAUAUACCUUGUUGACACAACUCGACCAUAAGAUCUUUGGAUUGGAAACAGUUAAAGAACAAUACGUGCAUGAUGAUGAUUUUAAAGAUGUGUUUUUGCAUUGUAAGGAUGGGAAGGCAUGGAAUAAAUUUGUUGUAAAUGAUGGUUUUGUGUUUAGAGCUAAUAAGCUAUGCAUUCCAGCUAGCUCUGUUCGUUUGUUGUUGCUACAGGAAGCACAUGGAGGUGGUUUGAUGGGACAUUUUGGGGCAAAGAAGACGGAGGACAUACUGGCUGGUCAUUUCUUUUGGCCAAAGAUGAGGAGAGAUGUGGAGAGAUUUAUUGCUCGCUGCACGACAUGUCAAAAGGCCAAGUCACGCUUAAAUCCACACGAUUUGAAGCCAUAUUUGGGUGAGGGAGACGAGCUUGAGUCGGGGACGACUCAAAUGCAAGAAGGGGAGGAUGAUGAGGACAUCAGCACCAUCUAUACAUCCACACCUACACCACACCAUCGCCAACACCACUUGGCCCUCUUACUCGUGCCCGUGCCCGUCAACUGAACCAUCAAGUAAGUUUAUUCUUAAACUCUUGUCCAUCAUAUUUAGACAAUGGAGACACGUGCACGCUUGUUUUGCUUAGGAAUGAUGGAGAGGACCAGAAGCAUAGGGGAUUGGCGUAGGCUGGAUUUGGACAGCAAGACAGCACCAACUUACAACAACCGCCAUGACUUCAUACAGAGUCCAUUUUAAGCAUGCAAGCACUUGAUGGAAAACUCGUCAAGUAUAUUUUUAGAUGGAUCUCAAUUCAAGUUCACAGCAGCUAUGAGGCAGCCGCAAUUGUCUAAUAACUGCAUGGACCUUUUCUUCGGAUACCUACUUUUAGAGCAUGCUUCGGUCAAUAAGGAUCUCAUGUUUCGGUCAAUAAGGAUCUCAUGCAACUAAGCAAUGGUUGCCUUUAUUUCUCUGUUAUUUUUAGAGUGUUGAGAGUGCCGCCUAGCUUUGCUCUCUCUUGUAUUUAUGGGUCCUACAUGCCACCACAACAAUCUGGGUUUUGAUUAAUCGAGUUAGCCAUUUGCUACCGCCUUUCGGCGCGCGUGUUGGAUAAACCGCCCGUCUGACUGUAAAAGGAACCCCACCAUCUUGUGAUUUCAGAUUGAAAGCUCAAUAUAUAUAUAUUUUUCAAUUGUGAUUGUUCAUUGUGUUCUUGCUUGUUCUUCGAUUGCUUGCAGGACGAGUGCCCUCGUGGCCGGGUCGCGCACCACAAGAACGCAGCGAUCCUUGGAGUCGGUGUAUCGGUUGCUAAGGCGCAUCAUCCUUGGAUGGUUGUAGUCGGAUCAUGAACGUCGUCUCCUUCCACUAAAUCGAAGUUAUCCAUCUCCACCAAAAAGAUCGGGACACCCUCGUUCUUAUUACUAUUCCCACAAAACCGACAUCUACUAAUAAUCAGGCAGAGUAUCUUAAAGGUAUUCAAUUUCUACAUGAAGUCAACGCCGAGAGUAUUGAAGUUUUUGGUGAUUCUGAAUUAGUAAUUAAUCAAUUUCUCAGCCUAUAUGAAUGCAAAGAUGAUGUCUUGAGAAAAUAUUAUGAAGAAUGCCAAGAACUUCUUAAUUCUUUUUCUUUUGUUAUUAUCAAGCAUAUCCCUAGGAAUCAGAAUCAAGAGGCUAAUCGGUUAGCUCAAAGUGCUUCUGAAUAUCGGUAAAUUAUUGAAAUUUUAGCUGAUGAAGUUGUUGUUGAUGAAGAUUGGAGGAAGGAUAUUAUCGAGUGUUUGAAGAAUCCAUCACAACAAGUAUCCAGGAAAUUGAGGUACAAAGCUCUUAAAUUUGUUCUUCUUGAUGAUCGGCUAUAUCAUAGAACAGUUGAUGGUGUGCUCCUUAAGUGUCUCAACCAAGAAGAAGCUAAGGUUUUGAUGGGAGAGAUUCAUGAAGGAGUUUGUGGUGCUCAUCAAUCUGCUAUUAAGAUGAAGUGGAUGAUUAGAAGUGCAGGUUAUUUUUGGCCGACCAUGUUGGAGGAUUGUUUCAAAUAUUAUAAAGGAUGUCAAGAGUGUCAAAGGUUUGGCAAUAUUCAUAAAUCUCUAGCAUUGACUAUGAAUCCUAUUGUGAAACCAUGGCCAUUUAGAGGUUGGGGAAUAGAUCUAAUCAACCAGAUAUUUCCGUCAUCAAGUGUAACAGAAUCAUCCAAUUUAUAAGAAUUCAAGUGAAUUAGCGACCACAAAGCAGUCAAGCCAAUGGAAUUGAACCCAUAUAAACCCGGUAGUCCGAUGAAAUCUCAGAAGAUCUCGAUUAAACCAACAUACAACCAAGACCCUACAUGAUCAAGCAUCUCCAUCACAGAUUACACACAUUCGUCACAUAACAUAGUUUUACAACACAUCAGAGUUCAAACAGAGUUAUUACACAAAAGUAGUUUUAAACAACACACGCACUUAGUUCAAUUACAUGCCAGUUCCAUAGUCAUUCCCACAAAAGCACAACUGAAGAGAAUAGAAGUGAUCUUGCCCAUGAUCUACUCAUCAUCCGCAGUCGAAUGGUGACAAUUAGCACAGUAGCCGUGAUAAACGACAUCAUCUGCAACAAGGGUAAAUAAAACCCUGAGUACGAGAAUGUACUCAGCUAGACUUACUCGUCAUAAACCAGAAAUAAAGUGACACCAAGGAGUAUGCAAGGCUAACAUUUGUGGACUGGUUUGACUCACCUUUUGCAUAAAAGCUUUAGUUUUUGAGUAACACAUUUAUAACAUUUUCAGCAGCAAGUUAAUUAUUUAGAUCAGCUAUACACUAGAUUAUCACCUGUUCUAAGCAUACACUUGAGUAUUAAGCAUCACAAUAAUAACCAUAUCCGGAUUAUCACAUAGCCAUCAACAUUCUCAACAUAACCAUUAAGUUUAUUUAGUGAGUUCUACGUUGCCGCUGCUCGAGUCAAGUUCUCACUAUCCGAGAGAGACGGCGAUUCGAAUCGAUUCCUAUCCAGCUGGAGGGGUAUUCCUAGCACUCACCCAAGCACACCUCGCGAGGGCAGCUCGGAUCACCUUUAGCACAACUCCGGACCAAUUCGCGGGCCCGUCCAACGCCGCACCCCCAGGGACCGCCAAUCUGCCAAGGGCAGGACUCUAACCUGACACCUUGGUCUUACGCUAUUGACUCCCCGCACAUCCUUGCUACCAUCCGGGGUGCGCACUCAUACAGAAUGGGGUAUCCGGCCUGAGUUGCACUCGUAGGCUUCGCGGUCGGAAUGACUUAUCUGGCCAACUAAGUGUUAGGCAUGCGUUCAACAUGACACGAGGACGUACAGCGUAUCGGUCCUUAAACGACACAGACGGGGAUAGAUUCACACCCAAGACCUCCUUGCCUUGUUGCUGCACUAUCGUCAUCUCGUCCGGUCUCAUUCAUUAUUAGCCAUGGUUAUUUCCACGAUAACAAAUAUAGCCAAUCGUGAUCUAGUAUCCACCUAACUCUCGCAGGUGAUAGGAAAUCACCCGGCUUCUACCGAGCUAAGCAUGGCUAAGCAUCAUUUCGAUCCUGGACCUACUUGGGUAAUGUAUAAGGUGGACAAGGAAAUCAUUAUGCAGCAAGGGUGUCAUAUCAAUGCCUAACACUUAAUGCAACAAUACAUAACCAUAGUUAAUUGACAGCUGGAUAUUAUAACAAAAAUAGUAGGAGGCUUAUAAUGCUCCGGGGCUUGCCUUCAACGUAGGUAGAGGGACGAUGGUCGGGACACUCCGGUAGAUCCUCCUCCUCCUCAGCUCCUUGAGGUGGCUCCCUCUGCUGCUCCUCCGGCUUGGGUGGUGCGAACUCCAAGACCGUCACGUCCUUGGGUACACCUAAGUAUGCAUGACAAGGAAAUAAAUAUAGAGAAUGCACAUAUGAUGCAUGAUGUCAUGAUGAAGAGCCAAAGGAACAUGAAGCCAUGUACAAACACGAGUAUAAAGCUUAUAAGAUUAUGAGGAUCAUGAAAUAACAAGCAAGUGCAUACUUCUUCUCUGGUAGAGAGGCUACAAUUCACUUUUAAACAUCCCAGAAAGAUUCCCAACCGAAAUAGGUUGAAACAGGCAAAAUUUGCUGGCUGUCUUGGAAAAUCCAGAGAGCAAGCACUUCGCAGCAGCUUUUGUAACAAUCACAACUCUUAAACUACUCAUCCAAAUGUCAUGAAAUUUGAACACAAGGUAGAUAAGUAAGUUAGCUACAAGUUUGUUAUAGACAAGUUUUCCAGAAAACUUCAUCUUCAAGCAGUUCUUAAACAACUGCUAUCAGCUACACAGAAUAUGCUCUAGGAAAGACAUAAUUAAAAAAUAAUAUUUUAACACAUACUAUGAAUGUAACAUUGGUUCAAACCAAAUGCACCAGUAGUUAGAACAUGUCUAAGACACACCAGAAAACAUCAUGGCAAGGUUUAAACUCAUUUUUAUUAUCCCCUUUUCUAUUUAUUUGAUUAAUAGGGUGAAUUAAUGAGUAUAUAGUACAAGUGAUCCAAAAAUUCUAAUAAAAUUACAGCAUGCUAUCUAAGCUACCACAAGGUUACUGUAAAAUUUUCAGGGCUCUUGCACAUGUAGAUUGCGAGACACAAAAAUGACAAGCUAACAAUGGCAUUAAAGGCAUAAAUGUAAAAUUUUAUCAAAAAGUGUCAAACAACAGAUUUCAGAUUUUUCUUAGCUUUGUUUGUACAUAAUUACCUGACUCAGCACGUUUUAUCAGAAAAUGAGUUAUAAUCUGUUUACUAAAAAUACCACAAGAAACUCCUAUUUAAACAAGAAAUAUUUAUAACUCUACCAACAGGUAUCCAAAAAUUAUGAUAAAUUUAUCAGAGCCUAAACAUAGCAUGAAAAACAUUUUCCUAAAUUUGCAUGGCCAUAAGACUCACAGAUCUCAAGAUAUAAUUACCUCCUAUUUAACCAAGAUUAAAUCAUAUCUAUUUAUUUCUGCAAAAACAUGGCAUGUUUUAUAUUUUUAAUAAAAACUAGACUAACUCAAGAAUCUAACAAAAUUGGAAUCACUUCAUUUGGAUAUGUCUAGCUCAAGUUAUGAAUUUUACAAAAACAACACGGGAUCUACAAAACAGUGAACCAGAGGGGAGAGAGUUAGAGGCUGACGGGUGGGGCCUGCUGACAGACGGGACCCACACGACAGAGAGACAGAGAGCAAAGACGAGCUCAUCGCCGGCGAAUCUCGACCACGGUGUGGUCUCCGGGGAAACCGAGGGCAUCUACGUGUUCCUCACCACGAGGCGAACCUGUUGACCUACUUGGCUCACGCUCUACUAGACUCUAGGGUGCUCACCGUCGCGAAUGGCGGAACGGCGGCACUGCUGUUGGGUAUUUUAAACGCAAACAGAAAAAUCCGCAAGCGCACGGAUACCGAUGUAGCCUUCACCCGGGAGUAUUCCAGAGUAUCGAUUUUCCACAGGGAACGUGAGUGUACUAAUUAAGAUCCAAGAUCGCCCAAGGAUAACUAUAUAACUAUUUUUGGUGGGAAUAGAGGAAGUUUCCUGAGAGUUCUCUAGUUGAUCUAAGAAUCAAGAAUUACCUCAAGACUAUCUAUUUCGGGACAUCAGAACACUAACCACAAAAAGAGAUGAGAAGGGGGCUAGGAAGCUCCGACUACGGUCCUACAAACACCGAUCCGAACGAGGUGGAAUACGUCGACCGUUAGGGCUGUCACUACCCUAAUGCUACCACAACAAUCCGCAGGAUUGGGUGCAAUUCCAGGUAAUUGCAAGACUAAACACUACGUCUAAUCUAUUAAUUACUACUCUAAUGUUUCAAAGAUUAGAGCACUUGAUGCAAGCGGGAAUCCAAUAAAUAACUUGAAUGUAAAUAAAAGUAAUUAGAGAACUCAGGAGUUAUGGAUUGAAGAACCUGGAGAACGAUGAAGAACGAACCAGAUGCUGCAAAAGUACAAUGUUGAGGAAGAUCCGACAGAUCCGGCUCCUCCUCCGCUCUCCUCUUCUCUCUCCCUAUUUUCUAGAUUACAACUAGAACUAACUAGAACUACAACUAGAGGAACUAGAACUAGAACUAGAUGAACUAGAACUAGAUCUAGAUGAACUAGAGGUAGAACUAGAAGAACUAGAGGGAUCCUCUCUACUUGGAUGAAGAAUUGAAACCCUAGCUUUGAUUCUGUAGAAGAGGUAUGAUCUCCAGGGGCCAGGGGGGUCUGGUUUUAUAGUCCCUUCAAGUGAAUCUGGGCCGUCGGAUCAAACCAACAUUGAUCGUGUGGUUUUCCUUGAUCCUUUAGGUCGGUGGAGCAAUAUCCCGAAAGAGAGUCCUGAUUGGACUCUGGCUGAGGGCGGGCGCCCAGGAAAGGUGGGCGGGCGCCCUGUCCCUGAGUCCUCUCGGCCUCCGCUUCCUUCCCGUGGCUUCUGGAGUCUUCUAGAUGGUAGAAAAUUGCGCAGCACGUUAAUAUCUCUAUGUAAACCCGACAUGUGGGCCUUUCUUCCAUAUUUCCUGAUAACCCCCUGCAGAAAUAGACAAACACCAAAACUUGUGGAAUUCUAUCAGAUAAAACCCUAAGUCUAGGUGUUGGUUGCAUUUGGAUCCUUUUCUAUGAUUAGUUGAUGGUUAAAUGUGAGCAUUAAGGACCGUCAACAAGCUCCCCCAAGCUUAACCUUUGCUCGUCCCUGAGCAAAGAUGAAAUCAAGAGUUUCUGCAGUGGUUUCAUAACUUAAAGAUACACAUGCGUUUAAACAAGAUCUCAUCUCUGGUUAGAGUAAACUGUUAAGACUUAAAACUUACUCAUUUACCUUUCACCAUGGGACUUGUAACCGUCACUUCUGUCUUGAGUAGUUAAAAGAUAGAACAGUCUAGUCAAGCACCAUGUCUCUUGUUCUUCGAUUAACUAUAGCUCUGGAGUUUUUGCAGAUUUUCAAAUAAAACUCAGAGAUUCCUUGUAUGACUCUCUCUAGUCUCUCUUUUGUGGUAUUUCUGGAUCCUUACCAAGGCAGAAAUGGUGUAUGCCUUCUCUCCAAGUAUGUGGUAUUUUUGCUAUGAGGCAUAGUGGCAUUGCCUUCUCUCUCACCCUUCUCUAAUAAGGUUUUGAUAUCUGGAGCUCAUAGGUGGCAGACAGCUAAUACAUACUUACAAGACAUUUAUUGCAUAGUCAAACCAUGGAUCCAGAAGAACAAGUCAAUAAGUCAAAUCAAGAUGUGCAUGUGUGGCAAAUGAAUGGUGUAUGGUGAUGAUGGUGAUAACAAUGGUGGAAGUCUAAUUCUACUUAUGCUCUUUUGAGGGGAUACAUACCUUUCUUCCUCUUUUGAAACUUUUCGAGGGGAAUGAGAUGCUCUAUAUUUUCUCUUUUUUUUCUUUUCUCUCAGGUGGGUAUCUUGUACCCCUAAUUCUACUGUCGGACACUUGUCCAUUUUUACCUCUCGUCUCACUUUUUUUUUCUUUUCUUUCGAGGUUCCGGGCACUUCCCCUUUUUAUUUCCUCGUAUUUUUUUUUCUUUCUUUUUUAGAGCACUCAUCUCCUGAAAUAAUAUAGCAAGUGGUAGUAACCAAGAUAACUUGAGCAUUUUUUUUCACAGGGAAAAACAGAAAUAGGAGAAUGUUUUUGGCUAUUCUCUCCCGGAUUAAGAGUAGAAUAUUUUUGAGUGGUUCUGGAGAUGGAAAUGGAUGGAUAUAUGUGGAUGGUACUUCUGCAGUAGAAGUAGCAUGUGUGAGUGAACAUGCAAGUGAAUCUUGAUUUAACCACAUGACAAGCUCCUAAGGGUCUACACAGCUUGACCACACUCAAUGCUCAUAAGCAGUAAAAAGUAAAUGUGUGGUUCAUAGUCUAACAAGCAUGUAUAUAUGGCUGUGGUAGGAAUUUAAACUCUCAUCAUACAGGAACUCAUCAUGUAAUAUUUUAAAGAUUUUCAAAGAUAAAAUUCUCCAGAAUUCUAGCAUCUCUAGGAACAGAUAAACAACAGCUCAACCUUCCCAUAUCAUAUCCGUUAACGACUUAGACUUUAGAUUGUUGACGGUCCUUAAUGCUCAUAUUUAACCAUCAAUUAAUCAUAGAAAAGGAUCCAAAUGCAACCAACACCUAGACUUAGGGUUUUAUCUGACAGAAUUCCACAAGUUUUGGUGUUUGUCUAUUUCUGCAUGGAGUUAUCAGGAAAUAUGGAAGAAAGGCCCACACGUCGGGUUUACAUAGAGAUAUUAACGUGCCGCACAAUUUUGUAUGAUCUAGAAGACUCCAGAAGCCACGGGACCGAACGGGAGACGUAACGGAGCCGGGCACUGGGCGCCCGCCCUCCCUUACUGGGCGCCCGCCCUCCCCCCUGGACCAAUCAGGGUGAAGUUUGGGGAUCAUGCUCCACCGACCUAAUACUUCAAGGAAAACCACACGAUCAAUGUCGGUUUGAUCCGACGGCCCAGAUUCACUUGAAGGGACUAUAAAACCAGACCUCCCUGGCCCCUGGAGAUCAUACCUCUUCUACAGAAUCAAAGUUAGGGUUUCAAUUCUUCAUCCAAGUAGAGAGGAUCCCUCUAGUUCUUCUAGUUCUACCUCUAGUUCAUCUAAAUCUAGUUCUAGUUCAUCUAGUUCUAGUUCUAGUUCUAGUUAGUUCUAGUUGUAAUCUAGAAAAUAGGGAGAGAGAAGAGGAGAGCGGAGGAGGAGCCGGAUCUGUCGGAUCUUCCUCAACAUUAUACUUUUGCAGCAUCUGGUUCGUUCUUCAUCGUUCUCCAGGUUCUUCAAUUCAUAAUUCUUGAGUUCUCUAAUUACUUCUAUUUACAUUCAAGUCAUUUAUUGGAUUCCCGCUUGCAUCAAGUGCUCUAGUCUUUAUAACGCUAGAGUAGUAAUUAAUAGAUUAGACGUGGUGUUUAGUCUUGCGAUUACCUGGAAUUGCACCCAAUCCUGCGGAUUGUUGUGGUAGCCUUAGGGUAGUGACAGCCCUAACGGUCGACGUAUUCCACCACGUUCGGAUCGGUGUUUGUAGGACCGUAGUCAGACCUUCCUAGCCCCCUUCUCAUCUCUUUCUGUGGUUAGUGCUCUGAUGUCCCGAUAUAAAUAAUCUUGAAGUAAUUCUUGAUUCUUAGAUCAACUAGAGAACUCUGAGGAAACUUCCUCUCUUCCCACCAAAAAUACUUAUAUAGUUAUCCUUAGGCGAUCUUGAUUCUUAAUUAGUACACUCACGUUCCCUGUGGAAAAUCGAUACUCUGGAAUACUCCCGGGUGAAGGCUACAUCGGUAUCCGUACGCUUGCGGAUUUUUCUGUUUGCGUUUAAAAUACCCAACAAGCUUUCUGGCGCCGUUGCCGGGGAACGGUAGCUGUGCUAGUUUCGAACCAAGUCGUCCGUGUAUCCUUUUUCUUUUCCUUUUUUUACCAUACUCACCUUAUCACUUUCACCAUACCACAUGGAUUUCACUCUAAGCAUUAACGAGCAUGUAAAUUAUUUCAUAGCCACUUCAUUUACUCCAUGCUCAUAUGCAACAUCUUCACAAUCCAUUGGUCUCUCCAACAUCACCAUAUUCGAGAUCUCCAACCCCAUCAUCCUUACUAUUUAUAAAAACUUUAAAAGGGCGGUUGUCGAUGCAUAUGUCUAUAUUAAAUAUUGCAGAUCUCGUUGAGUUGAUCUUGAUAUAGGUCAGCGUUGGAGGGGAAACCACUUCGCCGACAUAAAUUGAGGGUUUCCCAAGGACAAGCUUAGUGUCCUAAAACAAGCACUGAUCAGAUCGUAACAUGAGCUUUUAAUUAUUUGCAACAUUACCUUGUGUGUUGAGCAUAUCACGAUAAUUGUAAAAAUAUUCCUUCGGGUAUUCUUGUCACUAACCUUUCCAGGAUUGGAGCAAGAAGAUCGGAUGAAUGACAAGCACAAGGUAUGUACAACCAAUCAUCAUACAACAUUGAAUUAAAUUCAUCCAAACUUGAAUUUUGCAAAAUUCAAGCUUGGGGGAGUACUUUACAUAAAAACAUCCUUUGCCCUGU
RNAcentral lists this long non-coding RNA (29510 nucleotides) under Sorghum bicolor (sorghum). Its description in RNAcentral is "long non-coding RNA (SBIC_LNC010587)". Lineage: Eukaryota; Viridiplantae; Streptophyta; Magnoliopsida; Poales; Poaceae. The record is from RNAcentral.